Molecule: ribosomal RNA, 448 nt
Filed under: uncultured bacterium
Lineage: Bacteria
Description: bacterial SSU rRNA
Rfam family: Bacterial small subunit ribosomal RNA
Source: RNAcentral
GGCCAGACUCCUACGGGAGGCAGCAGUGGGGAAUAUUGCACAAUGGGGGAAACCCUGAUGCAGCGACGCCGCGUGAGUGAAGAAGUAUUUCGGUAUGUAAAGCUCUAUUAGCAGGAAAGAAAAUGACGGUACCUGACUAAGAAGCCCCGGCUAACUACGUGCCAGCAGCCGCGGUAAUACGUAGGGGGCAAGCGUUAUCCGGAUUUACUGGGUGUAAAGGGAGCGUAGACGGUGAAGCAAGUCUGAAGUGAAAGGCGGGGGCUCAACCCCCGGACUGCUUUGGAAACUGUUUGACUGGAGUGCAGGAGAGGUAAGUGGAAUUCCUAGUGUAGCGGUGAAAUGCGUAGAUAUUAGGAGGAACACCAGUGGCGAAGGCGGCUUACUGGACUGUAACUGACGUUGAGGCUCGAAAGCGUGGGGAGCAAACAGGAUUAGAUACCCCAGUAAG